CAUGCCGUAAACGUUGGGCGCUAGAUGUGGGGACCAUUCCACGGUUUCCGUGUCGUAGCUAACGCAUUAAGCGCCCCGCCUGGGGAGUACGGCCGCAAGGCUAAAACUCAAAGGAAUUGACGGGGGCCCGCACAAGCGGCGGAGCAUGCGGAUUAAUUCGAUGCAACGCGAAGAACCUUACCAAGGCUUGACAUAUACCGGAAACGUUCAGAAAUGUUCGCCCCGCAAGGUCGGUAUACAGGUGG
Molecule: ribosomal RNA, 245 nt
Filed under: uncultured Pseudoclavibacter sp.
Lineage: Bacteria; Bacillati; Actinomycetota; Actinomycetes; Micrococcales; Microbacteriaceae
Description: partial 16S ribosomal RNA
Rfam family: Bacterial small subunit ribosomal RNA
Source: RNAcentral